This 248-nucleotide long non-coding RNA is filed under the name Elaeis guineensis (African oil palm). RNAcentral describes it as "long non-coding RNA (EGUI_LNC011642)". The record is from RNAcentral. Lineage: Eukaryota; Viridiplantae; Streptophyta; Magnoliopsida; Arecales; Arecaceae.
CAUGAGAAGCUAUAAGUGAAGCUAUAAAGAGCGGCCGUGAUCUUUUUCUCAGAAAACAACAAAAUUAAUUUUCAAAUUAAUGAAUAACUUGUUUACCGGAUACGGUCAGGGUCAGUCGUGCCAUCAAAGUGGAUGGUAAAUUUAUCAAUCUAAAUUUAAUUUAUUUAUAAAAUAAAUUAAAAAUUUAGAUAUAAAUUUAAUUUAUUUAUUAAAUAAAUAAUUUAAUUUUAUCUAUAAAUUUAUUUAUU